Long non-coding RNA from Papio anubis (olive baboon), 4580 nucleotides. Lineage: Eukaryota; Metazoa; Chordata; Mammalia; Primates; Cercopithecidae. The record is from Ensembl.
CGCGCCCGGAGCCUUCCCCGCUUCGCUUCCUGGGCGUCCCGCGGCCCCCGACUCCUCUCCCAACUCUCACCCGACUGUUCUGGGAUUGUUUACCUGGCCUCUCCCUCACCCUUCAGAAAGCUCCUUCCUGGAAGAAAAAACCACAAACUUACCCUAUUUAUCUUUUUAAUCCCACGGCUAUUUAAACGAGCUAACGGGUGUAUAGUAGGCACUCAAUAAAUAUUUGUUGGCAAAGUGAAUAUUCCUCAUUGCAGGCAGAGCUCGGGGUCCACACGGAGGAAUUUCAGAGGCUGAAAGCACGCUUGAAGAAGGGGGCCUGGGCUUUGCACCAACUUCAGGAUUGCGUACUUGUUUCCUCAUCCGUUAAAUGGGAGCAGCUGAAUGUGUCUCCUAGCGUUUUCGAGAUUGUAGGUUGAUAGAACUAUGUACAGCACCUAGUAUUCAUUCUUGCUUCGUUUAGGUUUACAAUACAUGGAAGCUAACAUUAUUAUUAAGGAAACUUCCAUUUUUCCCGGGCCUCAGAAAGCUUUUCCAAUACUCGAUCGUUUAAGCUUCUGGGUUUUUUUUGUUGUUGUUUUUGUUUUUUAGAAAAAUGAAGGUCUCACUUUGUUGCCCAGGCUGAUCUCGAACUCCUGGCCUCAAGUGAUCCUCCCGCUUUUGGCCUCCCAAACUGAUGGAAUUACCGUCUGGAACCACUGUGUUAAACUCUUAGAUUUGACUGCUACAAAUGUAUAAAUGUGGAACUCCAUGUAUCAGUGGGUUCUGCCCCACUUCUUACUCCCAGGAAUUCUCCGUCCCAGCCUGCUGCUCCUGUCCUGCACCAGGGAACAAACAUGUAUCCUGGAUGAAAAUAAACCAAGUCUAUUGAAAUUGCAACCCAAGACAUUCAGAAGAGACAAGGCUACAGUGAAUCUGGAAAGUUUGCACGUGUUUGGAUGUACUGAUUGCCUUAACUGGCAGCCCUUUGCACUGCCAGCUUCUCCCUCAAUUACAUGAGGAACCACGAGGGGGCAAUGUCUUCCCGAGCAAUAAUAGGUGAGUGGUGGUCUUAGGACCCCGUGGUGGCCCAUGAUGCUAGCACUGUGUCUUUGGCCAUUCUUGCCUGUUAUGGAGCGUAGUCCACAGAAGGGCAUGGUCUUCUUGGAGCCUGGCAUGGGCCCAACAAAAAUGACAAUGUAGUCAAUAGUUCCACUCAGACUUCACUUGGGAGCAGGUGGACUACGUUGUGUGAUAUCAGGAUGCCUGGAGAACCUCUCCUAUCCCCACCCAGGGAAGCAUGGCUUAAUUCCAAAUAAAGAAUCUGGUUCCUUUGUCUUUAAGCCAAGCCAGGACUUUGUCUAUUGUUAAAAGUCAAAAAUCUCUGGGAUAAGAAACAAAAAUAAGUUCCAGCCGGGGCACGGUGGCUCAUGCCUGUAAUCCCAGCACUUUGGGAGGCCGAGGUGGGCCGAACACAUGAGGUCAGGAGUUCGAGACCAGCCUGGCUAACAUGAUGAAACCCCGGUUCUACUAAAAAUACAAAAAAAUUAGCUGGGUGUGGUGGCACACGCCUAUAAUAGCAGCUACUCGGGAGGCUGAGGCGGGAGAAUUGCUUGAACCUGGGAGGCAGAGGUUGCAGUGAGCCAAGAUUGCGCCAUUGCACUCCAGCUUGGGCAACAAGAGUGAAACUGUCACAAAAAAACAAAAAUAAGUUCCAGGAGAGGAUCCUUGUCUGGCUUAUUCACUGUUAUAUUCCCAGCAUCUAGACAGUGCCCAACACAUAGGAGGCACUCAGUUAUUUUUUAAUAAAUGAGCAUUUUAAGUCUGAUGGGUUACUGAUUCUUAGGCCUGAAUGUUAUCACUGGAUUUUUCCAAGAUCCAGCAGGAAGGACUAAAUCAGUGGAGAUGUCUUAAAACAGGUAGUCACAGCAAUGGCAUUAGGCAGGGUCUUGGCAGUGUUUUUUUUGUUUGUUUUUUUGUUUUUUUUUCUGAGAGUCUCACUCUGUUGCCCAGGCAACAUUGUUUAAGAAAAUGUCUCACCCAGGUGAGAAUUGUUCAAGCAAUUCUCCUGCCUCCGCCUCCCCAGUAGCUGGGACUACAGGUGCACACAACCACACCUGGCUAAUGUUUUUGUAUUUUUAGUAGAGGUAGGGUUUCCCCAUGUUGGCCAGGCUGGUUGGUACUGAACUCCCAAACUCAGGUGAUCCACCCGCCUCAGCCUCCCAAAAUGCCGAGAUUACAGACAUGAGCCACCGGCCUAGCAGUGGUCUUUAGUCAUGAUUUUGCAGGGAGAACCCUAGAUAGAGACCUUGUGCAGAAUGAAACAACUGAUAAGGUUUCAAAUAGUAAAAGAUAAAAUCCCACCAUUGAGGCCAGGUGCAGUGAGUCAUGCCUGUAAUCCUAGCACUUUGGGAGGCCGAGGUGGGCGGAUCAGCUGAGGUCAGGAGUCUGAGAUCAGCCUGGCCAACAUGGUGAAACCCCAUUUUUGAAAAUACAAAAAUUAGCCAGGCCUGGUGGUGGGUGCCUGUAGUCCCAGCUAUUCAGGAGGCUGAGGCAGGAGAAUCGCUGGAACCCAAGAGGCAGAGAUUGCGGUGAGCCAACAAACAUCACACCACUGCACUCCAGCCUGGGCGACAGAGCAAAACUCCCGUCUCAAAAAAAUUUAAAAAAAAAUCACACCAUUGAUUUUGACAUAUCAGACAAUAAAAUCGACACUGAUGCAGGAAUGGCUAUACUAUAUAGUCAGUGGUGAGAGUGACAUUCAGGGUGUUUUCAGAAAAACAUAUGGGGUUGGGAUAAUAUGUCAGGAAGAGAGAUUCCUGCUUUUGGUCCUUUCCAUGAAGAAUAGAGUUAUUUGAAAGAGCAAUAAUGUAUUACCAAUAAAACUCAAGGAAAAUCUGUAAACAGACUUUCGCUAUUUGUAAAACUUGGUGAUUGAAGGCAAAGAGUUUGGGGGAGGAAAAUGUAGCUUCAAUCAGGGUAUAAAUGAUAAUUACAACUUGCUUAUGACUUUAAAAAAAGAUUCCAAAGUAAGAUCUCCUCAGUAGCAAUAGUUCCCAGGCAUCCUGAGAAUUAUAAGACAACAAAGGGUUUGUUUUUUUUUUUUUGAGACGGAAUUUCGCUCUAACCAAGGGAUUUUAUAUCCUGUAAUAGUUGUGCUGAAGACCAGAAAAGUCCGCUUUCUCCCCAGCCUAACACUCUACCUACCGUAUUGCCUGACCUUCGAGAUUACCUUGAAAGGGUAAUAUUGUACACACACCUGUAGUUUUUUAUUACUCACUGCUAGAGAAACAGCAUUUCUAGGCUUGCCUUAAGAAAUCCAAACCUAUAAUUAUGUCUUAAAUGUUUGCCUUUGGGAACUGCAGACAUUAAAGGUCUAUUUUGAGGCGAUUUGCAUGGCAUGAGCUUUGUACCUAUGUUAGCUUUGCAGCAGAAAGCUGCAGUAUCUACCACGUGUGUUGUGAUUGUCUCUUAACCCUUCGGCUCAGCCAAAGAAGUUCUUGAGGCCAGAGGGGCUGUAUUUUAUUGGUUUUUGUCAUCCUUGACACCUCUCUCUCCCUCACCCGGUGCAUGCAUACUCACCUCCAGCUCCUCUCCAUCUUCCCCUGAUUUUUUUAUUUAUUAAUUUAUCAUUGUGGCAAAAGACACAUAACAUGAAAUUUACCUUCUUCACCACUUUGGGUUUUUUGGUUUUUUUGUUUUGUUUUGUUUUUUUGACAUGGAGUCUCACUCUGUUGCCCAGGCUGGAGUGCAAUGGUGCCAUCUCGGCUCACCACAACCUCCACCUCCCAGGUUCAAGACAUUCCCCUGCUUCAGCCUCUUGAGUAGCUGGGACUACAGGCGUGUGCCACCAUGUCUGGCUAAUUUUUGUAUUUUUAGUAGAGAUGAGGUUUCACUAUGUUAGCCAGGCUGGGUUGGUUUUUUUUUUUUUUUUUUUUUAGAGAUGGGUUUCACUGUGUUGCCCAGGCUGGUCUCAGACUCCUGGGUUCAAAUGAUCCUCCCACCUCAGCCUCCCAAAGUGCUGAGAUUACAGGUAUGAGCCACUGCACCCAGCCUACUUGUUUGUUUUGCCAGAUUUCGUUCUGUUGCCCAGGCUGGAGUAUAGUAGCAUGAUCAUAACUCACUGCAGCCUCGAACUCCUGGGCCCAAGCAAUCUUCCUGUCUCAGCUUCCUGAGCAGCUGGGACUGCAGACUCUUGCCACCACACCCAGCUAAUUUUUAAAUUUUUUUCCCAGGCUGGUCUCAAAUUCCUGCCUUCAGGGAAUCCUCCUGCCUCAGCCUCCCAAAGUGCUGAGAUUAUAGGCAUAAACUGUUUCACCUAAGCCUUCCAUUUGAACCAUUUUUAAGUGUAGUGUUAAGUAUAUUCACAUGGUUGUGCAACAGCUCCCUGAUUUUCAGCUCUUAAAGAAUCUGAGGUUCACUGGUUUCCCUCUGACCAUGAUCAGAGGCCCACAUGGAGGAGAAUCCAGGUGUUUGGCUUACGGCCCCAGCUGAGCUCUGCAGACAACCAGUAUCAAUUUGCCAGCCCUCUGAGUGAACUAUCUUGAGAGUGGUUGCUCCAGCCCUAGUUGAGCUGCUGCAGCUGAUACCAUCUGGAACAGAGA